UGUCAUUUCAGCUGCGCCUUCCUGUUUUCUGCAUUCAAACAUCAAGCCUCCAAUUUGAAGAAACAUAUAGAAAUCCACAAACCCUCAUCUGGACUUCAGGAGCUUUCUGGAGCACACCAGACAUCAGAGUUACAAAGGAACCUUCCAAAUCCUACCCCAAAUCCUCCCAAAGUGGGGUCUUCCCCAGCAGAUCUCACCUUCACCAUCGAGAAGGUUGUGAGAGCCCUCAAGAAGACCAAGGGGAACACAGCACCUAGACAAUGUCAAUGGCCGUGUUCUACGUCAUUGCGCAGAGCAGCUGGGGGGGCGUGUUUCAGCUCCUGUGUCAAAGAUCAGUAGAGAGCUGCACAGUUCCUCAGUUAUGGAAGCACUCCACGGUGAUCCCCAUCCCUAAGAAGAGCUCAGUCAGGACUCUGAACAACCUUAGGCCUGUGGCUCUGACCUCACUUGUGAUGAAGACCAUGGAGAGAGUCAUGAAGAAGCACAUCGUCAAGGUGACUAAUGCUCUGAUGGACCCUCUGCAGUUUGCAUACCAGGCAAAACACCAGGCAGGUAGAGGGGUUGAUGAUGCAAAAUUAUUCAUCAUGGACACCAUACACAAGCACCUUGAAUGUCCCAACACCUCAGCCAGACUUCUGUUUGCUGACUUUUCCUCAGCAUUCAAUACUAUGCAGCCACAUAUCCAUGCAGAGAAACUAUCCACCCUCUUCCACCUGGAUGACCAGCUAGUUCCGUGGAUCCUAGAUUUUUUAACCAACAGAACACAGAGAGUGCUGGUUAACAACAUCUUCUCCGACCCUCUCCUCCACUGGCUCUCCUCAAGGCUGUGUCCUCUCACCUCUGCUCUUCAUCCUCUACACAGAUGACUGCAGGUCUUCCCACCAUGACCGUUAUCUGAUCAAGCAUGCGGCUGACACCGUUCUUCUGUCUCUGCUCUCUGGUCCUUCUCACCCUCAGAACUCAAUGCUCCACAAGUCUGUGGAGUGGUGUGACCACGCCUCACUAGAGCUGAACGUGGAGAAGACAAAAGCGAUGUUGGUGACCUUUUCCAACAAGCAUAGGGAACUGGCAGCAGAAGACACCAGCACAAUCCAUGGGAAGACUAUGGAGCUUUACUAUACUAUACUGCUAUCUGUGAUAGUAUACUCAGUUUUGCCUUCAACACUGAGGAGAUUCUAAUGAGAUGCCAGCAGCGGCAGUAUCUCCCGAGGAAACUCAGCAGCUUUGGAGUCAACAAGAACAUCUUGAGGACAUUCUACUACUCCUUCAUUGAGGGUGUCAUAACAUUCUCAAUAACCUGCUGGUUCCAUGCCACCACUCUGUAUCACAGAGCCCGCCUGUAGAGGGCAGUCAAGGUGUGCUCUAAAAUAAUUGGAUCCCCAGUCAGAACUCUGUCUUCCUUA
Long non-coding RNA from Brienomyrus brachyistius, 1403 nucleotides. RefSeq lists it as uncharacterized. The transcript has 3 exons. NCBI's taxonomy places the organism in Eukaryota, Metazoa, Chordata, Actinopteri, Osteoglossiformes, Mormyridae. The record is from RefSeq and is a predicted model, not a curated record.